CAGGAACCAGCCCUGGCAGAAGUGUUCCACCAGUUGCACGAUCCUCACCGCAACAUUCCUUAUCCAAUCCCUUACCGUGACGAGUAGCACAGCCCCUCUAUGGUUUAGAUGGCAGUGCUGCAAAGGAGGCAACAGAGGAGCAGUCUGCUCUGCCAAUCCUCACGUCAGUGAUGCUAGCAAAACCUCGGCUUGACACAGAGCAGCUGGCGUAAAGGAGAGCUGGCCUCUGCUUCACUUUUGUUUCAG
RNAcentral lists this long non-coding RNA (246 nucleotides) under Homo sapiens (human). RNAcentral's name for it is "non-protein coding lnc-METTL2B-3:10". The record is from RNAcentral. Lineage: Eukaryota; Metazoa; Chordata; Mammalia; Primates; Hominidae.